This 7192-nucleotide long non-coding RNA is filed under the name Triticum aestivum (bread wheat). RNAcentral's name for it is "long non-coding RNA (TAES_LNC022882)". Lineage: Eukaryota; Viridiplantae; Streptophyta; Magnoliopsida; Poales; Poaceae. The record is from RNAcentral.
CGGUUGUGGUGGUUCCUAGGUCUUGGAUUCCAGGGCGGCGGCCCUGGUGGUGGUUGCGCGGUGCUCAUGGGCAGAGCCCGUCGCUUGGUGCUGCCCGAUGGUCAUGGUCGUGUGGGCGGCGUGGUUGUCGGGGUGCGGCGUUCGAUGGCAGUGAGUAUUGGCCGGGGUGAAAACCUGCUGUUUCUUCGGACAGACUGGCAGCGGCGUAGCUCGUUGCCUUCUUGAAGGCGUCGUCGCGGCUCUCAUUGUCUGUCGUGUGGCUCCGGGGGAAACCUUGAUCCUCGGAUCAGGCGGUGGCGACGCUACCGUGUCGUACCCUUCCUGAAGGCACCGUCUUGGAGCCCACGGUUUGUCGUAUGCGGCUACAUCUCUUCGUGGUGGCGUGUUCACUGGUGGAGUCCCGGGUGCUCGAGUAGUGCUAGGGGUCGUGUUGCUGCGCUCAGCGCCUGUGUAUCCCGCCUUAGGUGUGUGUGUGUGUUGUGGUGGUGUGCGUCUGUACCUGGAUGUUGUUGGUCAUUACUUUAUUUAUAAAGCGGGGCGAAAGCCUUUUUCGGUAAAGAUAGGAGACGAAGCGAAACCUCAAAGGUAAGAGCAUGUUCAAUGCUGAACCCUUCAAGAGGCGCUUAGGAAGGUAAAAAAAUAAAUAUCACAAAAUAUACCUAAGCGCCCUACCCUCCCAAUGCUAAGCGCUAAUUACAUCCACGCGCGCCUGGCAGAGCGAAGAAAAAAGGCCUCACGCCUGAUGCAAUCCUUUGGAGUAAAUUACAUCUAUAGUACUCAAACUUGACACUAGGGUUCACUUUCAUCACUGUAUUCGGGAAGUGUCAAAAUACGGUCACUGGGAUUGCGUAAAUGUGUCACCAUGUGGUCACCGCUACUGUAUCCAAACGUAGUUCGCUGAUGUGGCAUAUGUUGACUAGUCCUAACCGUUGACUUGCUUACGUGGGAAGCUCAUCAUCUUCUCAUCCCUCUCUGUACCCGAUGAAUGAAAUGAACCUGAGAAUCGCCUGCCACAUAUGCCUACCAACCAUGGAUGAUGGAGCCCGCGGCGAUGUACCACAUGGCUGCUCGGCUCUCUUUUGUCAACAACCUCUACUUCCCACCGCCAUUCUUCACGCCAUGCCAUCCGCGUCAAGGUGGAAGACCUCUCUUCGUCGAGCAGUACGGCGGUGCGCUGCACUCGGACGAGCUCACCCUGUUGGACAUGCUCCGAGAUGACUACGAGGUCGGCUCGCACCUCAGCCCCUUGCGAGCCGCCCCCUCCUGGAAAGCCCAGUUCCUCUGACGUGUACCUUAUCUGCCUAGUGCGUGAGGGACAGCACUUCUCUGACCCAGGAACCUCCGCGAGCGCCCAUGUCGCCGCCGUCACCGCAAUAUACAUCCCCUCUAGCAUUGCCAAACUCACAUAUGGUGUUCCAAAUUUAGAGCGCUGCCUCCGUGCAUGGCGACCUCUGUGCGUUUCACCGGCUCAAUGCGAGGCACACGAUGGUUAGGUUGUAGCCCCGGCGAACCCGUGGAGCUCAACACCAUCGCCCCGCGGCGGCAGAAAGAAUAGGUGCACAUGAUAUUUGGCGGGGCAAACCCGUACGUGAGCAGGCCGACAUCCUCACAGCUCUCCAUGUCGAGUCCCCUCAUGUGUACACCAUUGCACCAUGGGAUCCUUCUUAACAAAGACCAGCCCAAACUGGCAUCCGGCGUGCCGACCAGGACGCCAACCGCGAGUAUGCCUACGAGGUGUGGGGGUCUGGCUGGAUGAGAGAUGGGAAACUGCAGGUGAAUAGCUACGCCAGGUAGGCGAGAGAGGCUGAGCAUAUGCAGAGGAGCAUGAUAGAGUGUAAGACUAUGUUGAAGAAAUGGCAAACAUGGUGCCGAUCAGCCACGCACGCACCUGUGCACUUGCAAACAUGGCGCCGGCGGUCGGCCAACGACGGUGAUGAGCUUCAAGUUGGGCGUGGCACGGGAGUUGGAGAUUUCGUGUCUGAUGGACUAAGAAACGAACGAAUCAUCGUUAAUGUGCCAUAGGAUGCUUUGGGAGCUCUAGAAGGAGGUGUUGGAGAGCUGCCAUGGCGGUGGGAGCUCGGCAUGUGGUGCACAGGUGGAUGCGGAUAAGGUGUUCGACAGAAUUUUUAGGGAGGAGUGGUAGGAGAGAGAGAGAGAGAGAGAGAGGUGUAUUUGCCACGUCAGGGAAAUACAUUGGAUACGGUACUGGUGACCGUAGAGUGACAAGUCCCAACAACCUUGGUGACCGUAUUUUGACCUUUGUUGAAUACAGUGACCAAAGUGAACCCUAGGAUCAAGUUCAGAUACUAUAGAUGUAAUUUACUCCAAUCCUUUGCAUCGAUGCCACACUUGAAGCUAGGAUUUGAUGGGCUAACUGCUAAUCGGCCGGGAAAUCAAUAGGGAAUAUAUCCUGGCAUCCGUCUAAGCGUCUGGCGUUGGAGAUGCCCUAAAUGGCUAGUGGGUCCUGGGGUUAAUCAGUGUGUCGCCAAUAAAAAAUUGUUUAUUUACUACAGGUGUCACCACCACGCCGUGGUGUCAGGACAUCUCCAACGACAACCCGUAAAUUUCCUCCGCAUCCGUCCGAGGACAGCGGGACCAGUCCGCGGACACGGAUGCGGGAGGACGCCAUCCAACCGUACAGGCAAACAUAACUAUUUUAGUUAUUUUUUAGUGAAAAAAGGCCUAAUACAAAGGAAUAUAUAGAUGUUUUCUUGUGAUCUGGGGGCCAUGGUCCAGGGUGGCCCCCCAAGAAGCUCCGACACUACAACCAUAGUCGCAUACAUUUUGACAACUGUUCGAAUCAAUCGGACGAAAUUUGUGUAAACCGCGCGAAUUUUGAUAUAAACACGUCAGAUUUCAUUUGAAAUAGGAUAAUUUGUACAUAAAACCAAACGAUAUUUUGUCUGAUGAACUAAAAACCUUAAAAUAAAACUCUAAACUACCCUAUACUUGACGGUGACCUCAUAAGGCUGGCCGGUGGCUUCUCCCCCAUCAUCGUCACCCGAUCUGGUGUCGCAGUCAUUGUCGGCGUCGUCUGGCUUUGGGCGGCGGAAGGUGGCGGCGUCGCGGCAAGGCUUCCCGGCAGCCGCCUGACGCUCGCGGAUGACCCUUUCUGCUUCCUCCUGCGCUGUGCACAGUGCGACCGCGACCACCGACGACGUGGGCAGGGAGAGAGGGUGGUGGACCUUGGAUGAGGCGGAAUUGGCGGCGGCGAUCUCGUUGCGUGACCACUCCUCGUCGUACUUGGCCAUCUCCCCGUCAAGGCGGUGGAGAUGGCGCUUACUCGUCUCCGCCAUCGUCACGGAGCGGUCUAGAGCCUAGGCGUAUGCCAAGCCUGUGUCCGCUGCGAUGUGUGGCGGUGGGACGUCGAAGUCAGCGAACUCCAACCAGUGCGCCAUGUUGCGCCUGUCUAGCUAGCGUCGCUCCCUGUCGGCAUACUCCUGCACCGUCAGGGCGCUCCAGGAUGACCAGGAGCUGUCGGUGCCACCGAGGUAGUGUUGAAGGCGACCGCGUGCUUUAGCGAUCACAUUGGGAAUGGGCGGCGGCGAGCGGUGCUCCGCCUUGACGCGCCAGGGUGAGGGAGAGAGCCGCUCCUCUUUGACGCGUCAGGGAAACGGAGAGAUCCACUCCUCUUUCACGCGCAUUGGCGGCAGCGAGAGACGCUCUUCCUUCACGUGGCAUAUGAUUUGGACACCAUAGUUCCGCGACAGAGAGCGCGGAGGGGAUGCCGGCUUUGACUUCACAUGGAGGAGCGGCCUUGAUGGCCGAACUGGGCUGUUGGGUGGAGCACGGAGCGACGGGGCAUCAACUCCAUCUGCUCAUCGUACUCCACGGGCGCGUACACUUGGCCUGCCACCACCGACACGGACUGGUGUUGUUGCUGCUGCGGCGGCUGGUCCUCCUCAUCGCUAGAGGAGAUGACGAUCUCCGCCUUCGUCGAUGAGCUGCAAGCUGAUGAGGACGAUGGUCGGGAGUUCGAGGGGCGGUGUCACCAUGAUCUGCCAGAUCCCGCCCCAGAACCACCGCCUACCGGCGCUGACACCUAGGACUUGCCCAUCACCGGAGUUGUGGAGGGAGAUGGGCAGAGAGAGGGAAGGAGGAGGAGGAGGAUAGAUUGCGAUAUUGACGGUUAAUACGUCUCCAACGUAUCUACUUUUCCAAACACUAAUGCCCUUGUUUUGGACUCUAACUUGCAUGAUUUGAAUGGAACUAACCCGGAAUGAUGUUGUUUUCAGCAGAAUUGCCAUCGUGUUAUUUUUGUGUAGAAAUAAAAGUUCUCAGAAUGACCUGAAACUUCACGGAGGCACAUUUUGGAAUUAAUAAAAAAUAUUGGUGAAAGAAUCAACAAAAGGGGUCCCACACCCUAGCCACGAGGGUGGGGGCGCGCCCCCCUAGGGCACGCCCCUGCCUCGUGGCCCCCCUAGAGCUCCACCAACCUCAACUCCAACUCCAUAUAUUCACGUUCGGGGAGAACAAAAUCAAGGAGAAGGAUUCAUCGCGUUUUACGAUACGGAGCCGCCGCCAAGCCCUGUUCUUCCUCGGGAGGGCUGAUCUAGAGUCCGUCCAGGGCUCCGGAGAGGGGAAUCCGUCGCCAUCAUCAUCAUCAACCAUCCUCCAUCACUAAUUUCAUGAUGCUCACCACCGUGCGUGAGUAAUUCCAUCGUAGGCUUGCUUGACGGUGAUCGGUUGGAUGACAUUUACCUUGUAAUCGAGUUAGUUUUGUUAGGGUUUGAUCCCUAGUAUCCAUUAUGUUCUAAGAUUGAUGUUGCUAUGACUUUGCCAUGCUUAAUGCUUGUCACUAGGGCCCGAGUGCCAUGAUUUAAGAUCUGAACCUAUUAUGCUUUCAUGAAUAUAUGUGAGUUCUUGAUCCUAUCUUGCAAUUUAUAGUCACCUACUACGUGUUAUGAUCCGGCAAACCCCGGAGUGACAAUAGUCGGGACACUUCCUGGUGAUGACCGUAGUUUGAGGAGUUCAUGUAUUCACUAAGUGCUAAUGCUUUGGUCCGGUACUCUAUUAAAAGGAGGCCUUAAUAUCCCUUAGUUUCCAAUAGGACCCCGCUGCCACGGGAGGGUAGGACAAAAGAUGUCAUGCAAGUUCUUUUCCAUAAGCACGCAUGACUAUAUUCGGAAUACAUGCCUACAUUACAUUAAUGAACUGGAGCUAGUUCUGUGUCACCCUAUGUUAUAACUGUUGCAUGAUGAAUUACAUCUGACAUAAUUAUCCAUCAUUGAUCCAUUGCCUACGAGCUGUUCACAUAUUGAUCGUUGCUACGUUACUUCUCCAUUACCACUGUUACGAUUGCUACAAAACUACUACUAUUACUUUUGCCAACAUUACUGUUACUUCCAUACUACUUUGCUACUAAAUACUUUGUUGCAGAUAUUAAGUCUUUCAGGUUUGGUUGAAUUGACAACUCAGCUGCUAAUACUUGAGAAUAUUCUUUGGCUCCCCUUGUGUCGAAUCAAUAAAUUUGGGUGUUAUACUCUACCCUUGAAAACUGUUGUGAUCCCCUAUACUUGUGGGUUAUCAAGACCUUUUUCUGGCGCCAUUGUCGGGUAGCUCUAUUCUCUGAGUCACUUGAGAUUUAUAUCUGUUGAUCACUAUGAGGAAUUUGAAAGAUCAAAUAACCAAGAUUUUUCCCAUGAGGGGAGGUAAGGAACUGCCAUCUAGCUCCACACUUGAUUCUCCUUCUAUUUUGAUUAAACUUGCGACACCUACACCUGCUAUUGAUUCUGACAUGUUGCAUGUUAUUUAUGAUGCCACUUCUGCUAUGCAUGAUGCUUAUGAUGAUACUACUUCUCUGCUUGAUAAUAAUGUGCCACUAGGUGCAUUUCUUGAUGAACAACUUUCUAGGGUUAGAAAGAAUGAAAUUACUGAAACUGAUGAUAUUAUUGAAUCUGAUGAUGAAGAUUCUCCCCCUAGAUAUGAAUUGGUUGUUAUACCUGAGGGUUAUGUUAUGGAUCAAGAAACUGCUAGAGACUUUCUUGCUUGCAAUGAUAGAUAUGAUCUUAAGAAACUGUUAGCUAAGUUGAAAGAAAAGUCUUUGCGUGAUAGAAUGCAAUAUGACCCUACUUUUGCUACUUCACCUAUUUGUAUUACUGACAAGGAUUAUGAAUUCUCUGUCGAUCCUGAGUUAAUUACUUUGGUUGACUCUGGUCCUUUCUAUGGCUAUGAAUCUGGAACUGUUGUGGCACAUCUUACUAAAUUGAAUGAUAUAGCCACCCUAUUCACUCAUGAGGAAAAAAUUCGCUUACUAUAUUCUUAAUUAUCUUUUCCUUUCUCAUUAAAGGUGACGCUAAAAUAUGGUUUAAUUUUCUUGCUUCUGGUUGUGUGCGUAGUCCCCGGGAUAUGAUUUAUUACUUUUUUGCAAAAUAUUUUCCCGCUCAUAAGAAACAAGCUGCCUUAAGGGAAAUAUUUAAUUUUGUGCAAAUUUAAGAAGAGAGUCUCCCACAAGCUUGGGAGAGGCUUCUCCGAUUACUUAAUGCUUUGCCUGAUCAUCCUCUUAAGAAAAAUGAAAUACUUGAUAUCUUUUAUAAUGGACUAACCGAUGUUUCCAGAGACCACCUGGAUAGUUGUGCUGGUUGUGUUUUCAGUGAAAAAACUGUUGAGCAAGCUGAAUUGCUAUUGAAUAAUAUAUUGAGUAAUGAUAAUUAUUGGACAUUUCCUGAACCAACUCCUAAUCCAACUCCGAAGAAAAUGGGUAUUCUAUUUCUCAGUCCUGAAGAUAUGCAAGAGGCAAAGAAAUCUAUGAAAGAAAAAGGUAUUAAAGAUGAAGAUGUUAAGAAUUUACCGCCUAUUGAAGAGAUACAUGGUCUUGAUAACCCGACACAGGUAGUAAAGGUAAAUUCUCUCUAUAGAUUUGAUAAGGGUGAAAUCCCAUCUACUAAGUUUGCUAGUCAAUGCUUGGAUGAGUUUGAUAAUUUUAUUGUUAGACAAGAAGACUUCAAUGCUUAUUUUGGUAGACAAUUGAAACAUAAUGCUUAUAUGGUCGAACACUUGAGUGAUUAUAUGUCUAGAGUUAAAAGUGAUCUUAAGCUUAUUAGUAAACAUGCUUCCAUGGUUACCACUCAAGUAGAACAAGUACUUAAGGCACAAGAUGAUUUGCUCAAUGAAUUAAAUAAUAAGAAUAAUGAUAAUGAUGUUAGAGUUAUGACUAGAGGUGGUAAAAUGACCCGGGAACCUUUGUAUCCUG